This 2239-nucleotide long non-coding RNA is filed under the name Homo sapiens (human). RNAcentral describes it as "HSALNT0313952". The record is from RNAcentral. Lineage: Eukaryota; Metazoa; Chordata; Mammalia; Primates; Hominidae.
CAUACCCAAAGAUGUGGUGGUGGUGGAAGCUGUGGGGAUUGCUGAGAAUGCCCAGGCAAGUGGAGACUGAGGAAGAGAAACCUGACAAAAAGAAAGGGAAGGCAUCCAGUGAUGGAGAAAGAAAAUUAGGAGAGUAAGGUGUCAUUGAAACAAAGGUAAGAGAAAAUUAAAGAAAAAGCCAUACAAAACAGAAGUGGUUAGUCUUGAAGCUUCAGAGAAGUCAUAUAAGGUAAGAAAUAAUAAGCGUCCAUAUGUAUGUGUUUGUGUGUGUGUUGCAACUAUGAACUUCCUGGUGACCCAAUGGAGUGGUGAACCCAAAAGGCAAAUUGCUGAGAGCUGAGAAUUGAAGAUGGGGUGAACAAGUGCAGAUGGUGGGCAAAGGAGUACAGUAAGAUGGAGAACUAGAGUUGAAGGAUAAUAUUUUACUUAUAAAGAGAAGAAAGAGGCUAGAGCCAUCUAAAGGAUGAGGUUAAAGAUUCAGUUGAGAAGAAGAGAGUGAUGAUAUAAGAGACAGAAUAGGAGAACCAAUGUCUCUGAGGAAUUACUGUGAGAAGAUGAUAUUCCAAAUAUGGAGGGGAAGCUUCCACCUCCACUUGGCCAGGUUCGGGUGCUGAUAAGUCUGAAGGUGGCAAAGCAGCAAAUGGGUGGAGUCCCUGCCUGAAUGCAUCUACUUUGUAAGUGGGAGCAAGGUCAUGGUAUUAGUCAUCUGCUGAGAAUAAAGGGGGACAGAUGGAAUAGUAAGCCCAGGGAGAGUGGAAAAAACUGAAAUCUGCAAUAUGCCAAAUGGGAGAAAAGGCAGAGUGGAGAAAAAUAUAUUUUCAGGCACAGCUUAUAUGUUAUGUUUAUAUGCUAGAGAGUGGAGGUAGAAGGAGAGUCAGGUUGAAAAGAGAGAUGAGAGGAGGUAUCAUUGAUGCAUCCUGGAGAGUGUGAUCACCUUUGCAUAGGGGGAAUGUAACCUUUAUCUCUGACAUAAGAAGGAAUUAAGUGAGGGAUUCGGGACUCAGUUAUGCACUUAAUAAAUAAUUUCUCUAGAGUCUUAUGCACAAGGUGAAGAAAGAAAUUUGGACUAGAUGCAAAGGCAAUUCAGUAGGCAAAGUACCUUGCUGAAGCAAUGCUGAUUAAUGAUUUGAUGUUUGUGUGGAGGGAGAAUUCAAUUUGCCUGGCCAAGGAUUCUGUCCUUGGCUCUGUCCUGUAAGGUCUUUUUUUUCUCUUUUGAAAAAUUCAAUACCUUGGGUAGAAAAAUAUAAGGCUUGCUCAUUAAAUGUGUACAAACAAGCCAGAAGGGAUAAAGAUGAUGGAGAUCUGGGAUGACAGAAUUAAGAUCUAAAGAACAUUGACAGAGUGAAGUGAUUGGUUUUGUCUAAGGAGAUAGAAAUAAACAAGAACACAUAUCCAAUAUUUUACCCUGGUGAAAAAAAUGAAACAAAACUAUAAUACAACUGAAAAGUUCAGGAUGGUGUAAAUAAAUGUUUUGAUAUUCUAGUUGGAGUAAAUUAGUGGUAUUCUAGACAUGGUAGUAUGGGCUUUUGUGAGCCAAUUUUUUAAAAUUUAUUUAUUUCAGUAGGUUUUUGGGGAACAGGUGGUGUUUGGUAACAUGAAUAAGUUCUUUAGUGGUGAUUUCUGAGAUUUUGGCACACCCAUCACCCAAGCAGUGUAUACUGUACCCAACGUGUAGCUUUUUAUCUCUCACCCACCUCACCCUUCUCCCUGAGUCCCCAGAGUCCAUUGUAUUAUUCCUAUGCCUUUGCAUCCUCAUAGCUUAGCUCCCACUUAUACCCAGGAGGAGGAUUGCUGGAUCAAAUGAAGCUUUUUAGUUUAAGUCCCAUCUAUUUAUCUUUGUUUUUGUUGCGUUUGCUUUUGGGUUCUUGGUCAUGAAGUCUUUGCCUGAAUUAAUGUCUAAAAGGGUUUGUCCAAUGUUAUCUUCUAGAAUUUUUAUGAUUUCAGGUCUUAGAUUUAAGUCUUUGAUCCGUCUUUAGUUGAUUUUUGUAUAAGGACCCCAGUAUAUCUUUCUCACCAUUUCAUACUACACAAUGUUACCACAGGCAUUCUUUAAAAUGUCCCCAUCCACAAAUCUUAGGUCUAAUCCCUUGUAGUGGGGUGACUUGCGUCUCCCAAAAAGCUAUGUCCAAGUCCUAAUUCCUGGUACCACUGAAUGUGAACUUUCUUGGAAAAAAAGUCUUUGCAGGUGUAAUUUGUAAUGAAGUUGAGGAUCUCAAGAUAAGAUCAUCUUGGAUUUAGG